AGAGUUUGAUCCUGGCUCAGAGUGAACGCUGGCGGCGUGCUUAACACAUGCAAGUCGAACGAGAACAGAAGAGAGCUUGCUCUCUUGCUGCUAAGUGGCGCACGGGUGAGUAAUAUAUAGGUAAUAUGCCUCUUACUAAGGGAUAAUUGUUGGAAACGACUUGUAAUACCUUAUAUGCCUUUUGAACAUAAGUUCGUAAAGGGAAAGAUUUAUCGGUAAGAGAUUAGCCUGUACGGUAUCAGAUAGUUGGUGGGGUAAUGGCCUACCAAGUCUAUGACACCUAACUGGUUUGAGAGGAUGAUCAGUCACACUGGAACUGAGACACGGUCCAGACUCCUACGGGAGGCAGCAGUGGGGAAUAUUGCACAAUGGACGAAAGUCUGAUGCAGCAACGCCGCGUGGAGGAUGACACAUUUCGGUGCGUAAACUCCUUUUAUAUGAGAAGAUAAUGACGGUAUCAUAUGAAUAAGCACCGGCUAACUCCGUGCCAGCAGCCGCGGUAAUACGGGGGGUGCAAGCGUUACUCGGAAUCACUGGGCGUAAAGAGCAUGUAGGCGGGUGAAUAAGUUGGAAGUGAAAUCCUAUAGCUUAACUAUAGAACUGCUUCCAAAACUGUUCACCUAGAGUAUGGGAGAGGUAGAUGGAAUUUCUGGUGUAGGGGUAAAAUCCGUAGAGAUCAGAAGGAAUACCGAUUGCGAAGGCGAUCUACUGGAACAUUACUGACGCUCAGAUGCGAAAGCGUGGGGAGCAAACAGGAUUAGAUACCCCUGG
This 771-nucleotide ribosomal RNA is filed under the name uncultured bacterium. RNAcentral's name for it is "bacterial SSU rRNA". It matches the Rfam family "Bacterial small subunit ribosomal RNA", at positions 8 to 790 of the family's 1533-position model. The record is from RNAcentral.